AGUGAACGCUGGCGGUAGGCCUAACACAUGCAAGUCGAACGGCAGCACAGGAGAGCUUGCUCUCUGGGUGGCGAGUGGCGGACGGGUGAGGAAUACAUCGGAAUCUACUUUUUCGUGGGGGAUAACGUAGGGAAACUUACGCUAAUACCGCAUACGACCUACGGGUGAAAGCAGGGGAUCUUCGGACCUUGCGCGAUUGAAUAAGCCGAUGUCGGAUUAGCUAGUUGGCGGGGUAAAGGCCCACCAAGGCGACGAUCCGUAGCUGGUCUGAGAGGAUGAUCAGCCAGACUGGAACUGAGACACGGUCCAGACUCCUACGGGAGGCAGAAGUGGGGAAUAUUGGACAAUGGGCGCAAGCCUGAUCCAGCCAUACCGCGUGGGUGAAGAAGGCCUUCGGGUUGUAAAGCCCUUUUGUUGGGAAAGAAAUCCAGCUGGUUAAUACCCGGUUGGGAUGACGGUACCCAAAGAAUAAGCACCGGCUAACUUCGUGCCAGCCGCCGCAGUAA
This 506-nucleotide ribosomal RNA is filed under the name uncultured bacterium. Its description in RNAcentral is "partial 16S ribosomal RNA". It matches the Rfam family "Bacterial small subunit ribosomal RNA", at positions 29 to 523 of the family's 1533-position model. The record is from RNAcentral.